UCAUAUAAAAAGGAAUCGACUAGCGUUAUCACGAAUUCAUGUGCAGCAUUUGAGAUUUAUUGAACAACAAAGAUAUUUAAUAUGCGAAUAUAUGAAUUUCAAGUUUAAUCUAUUUACAUUUCAUUAGACCUGCUAGUGAAUUUUAUGUGCAAGGUUCGAUAGUUGAUAAUUAUCCACACCUGCACAUAAAACUCAAUAGCGAACCAAUACACAUUUUUGUGGUGGAAUGUUGGUCACUCGAUCAUUUGGUCGCUCGAUUUUUCUCUGAUGGCAAAGUUUUAGUUAAAAUGCUUGCCUUGGACUGGUGUGCACCAUGGAUUGACAAUUUUAACAGCAGCUAGUUCCGCUUCUCGCUUUCCGCUUCCUUAUUUUGCCGGUGAAAAAUAUAGCUGCCAUUUUCAAUACUUCGAGAAAAAGGACGCCUUCAAACCGGAACGAAACGACUUCGAGGCCUUCUCCCAGUAUGCAACCGCUUGAUUUUUUCUGGCUAAUGAUAGCAUAUGUUUGUUCAGGAAGUGCCAAUAGAAAUUCUGGAGGAAAUUUGUCACCAGGUGCUGAAUCUGUUCUAGGAACCAAAAGCCGAAUCACCACCAGUCUUUCACGGCCUCUGAGCAAAUCAUCGCUACUGAUAAAACGCGUCAACAUUUCAUCGGUAUCGGAAAAAAGAUCGCCGGAUAUAAAUAAUCCCCCACCAAAAACAUUGGUUCUUCAACCAUCUGUUGAAAAAGUAACAAAUCCGAAAUCAAAACACAUAAUUCACGUUGAAGAUUAUGGCACCGUUCCCAUCUAUGCUACUGGGAAACUUUGAUUGUAAUCAUCAUCGAUAUUAUUUUAGCAUAAAAUAAAAUAAAAGUCAUUCAAA
Long non-coding RNA from Armigeres subalbatus, 862 nucleotides. RefSeq lists it as uncharacterized. The transcript has 2 exons. The record is from RefSeq and is a predicted model, not a curated record. Lineage: Eukaryota; Metazoa; Arthropoda; Insecta; Diptera; Culicidae.